Non-coding RNA from Petromyzon marinus (sea lamprey), 1955 nucleotides. NCBI's taxonomy places the organism in Eukaryota, Metazoa, Chordata, Hyperoartia, Petromyzontiformes, Petromyzontidae. The record is from RefSeq and is a predicted model, not a curated record.
GGACGGUAGCCCCCACAGAUUCACAACGCCCACCCACGGGGAGUUUCACAACAACAUCCGUGCGGUGAUCCAUCAACCCUCGCUGCUGCCUCCACAGUGCUGGAUGAUCACAGCAGAACCACCGGCGGGGGGGGGGGGGGUUCAUGACGAGGCUGGGUCCAUCGACUCGGUGAACUCCAGAACCGGGUCUCGCCACAGGCGAGUAAAACCCGGAUUUGAACUCAUGACCUCAACAGUGCCAGCUGUCUCCGACAGGGCCAUUAUGAACCCACUGACCCACCUGGAAGGUGUGUGCGUGUGUCAGAAUGAAAUUGGAGAGCGGUAGCGUAGCGGUUCGUGCGCUGCGAAUCCGGCAAUUCGUGGCUCAAAGGUGUGAGGGACUUUCAACAGGAUCUACAUCUUUUCUCUGUAGACUUGGUCAAGACCUAUGAUGCCAUCAAGGGGCACGAUGCGAUGGUUGCGCACGCCUGGUUGAAGCUGCGCGGCCGGGAGUCGCAAGCGCAGUUCCCCUGUUCACAAAUCGCCGGUGGGACACUGUCGCCACUUAGGGGCGAAGGGCGGUAGUUGCUGUCGCCCGGGAGAGUGUCGCCUGGGAGAGUGUCGCCCGGGAGAGUGUCCUGGAAUCCACACAGCCUCGAACACCGCCACAAGCGUUCUGACCCGCCCCGACUGGACAUCUGUGAAAAAGAAGUUUAUAGCUCAUCGGAUUCCUCCAACAUAAACACAUAUUCUGAUUACGAUUGGUUUGGACCUGGGUGAGAUUCCAAGAUGGUCACCGCAACAGCGCGCUCCCAGAAGGGCGUUCGGGACGUGAGUCGUUCGCGGCGAGGUUUAAUGUUGAGGUCUUGGUUGAGGAUUGUUGCAGGUGGUGGUUGUCGUUAGCAAGAAAACCUGUCAACUCCCUCGCAGUUUGCGCCAUGUCCCCGCCGAUAUUGGCAGAAUGUUCGCCAGAACGGGGAGCCAGGGGAUUGAUGUUGGUCUCAGUGUUCGCGGUUGUGAUGCGCAGAGCGUUACGUAAUCGUGCAUCUCGCGUUUUUUUUGCGUACGAGCUCCUGGACCAGUAUGGAGCAGCAGUUCGCAGUCCAUCAGCUGAGGCGCCCCCAGGGUCGUUCCUGCAAGCUUCUGUAGCAGGCCGACUCUGGAUUUAGUCUUACCAUAAAUGUUUUAUAUGGGGUUUAAAGGUCAGGCUUCGAUCCAUGAUAACCGCUAGAUCGCCUGGGAGCACUGGGCUACCAGAGGACACAUUAAGGGUGGCAUUUGCUGCACAGUUGUUCACGUGGAAGGGCGCUUGCGGUGGUUUUGGAAAGAUUUGAUCAGUCUCCAGCGUCGGAAAGAUGCCUCCAGUAAAGUGAGAUCAGCUGUUAGCGCAUUGGCAAUGUUCUCGAGGUUGGUGCCCUUUGCAGCAAGGGCUAUGUCACCUGCAUUACGGAUUUGUGAGAUGAUGUACGUGGCAGGUCACGUUAUAAAUGUUAAAUAGUGACGGUGCCAGUUCCGAUGUACACGACUUGAUGAUGAAUACGGGUCCAUCACCCCACAAUCCACCAUGUUUCUAUCUGCAUGUUAUCCCGUACCUUGCUGCACUGAGAUCAAUGGGUGGCCCCAAGGUUGUAAAUACUGGCAAAAUGUCGUACUCAGUUUGUAAAUGUUGUGGCUUGGCUCUCCAACACACCGGUGUGCUGUACUAGUGACGAAUUGGCCACGUUCUGUUUACGUGACAACCCUUACUAGUUGGCUGUGUCGGGUGGUGGCGGGUUUAAUGACACAUUUAUAUAUUUACGCGAUCUUACCCAAAAACUUCUAUUAUGGCCCCAGAGUGUUUCAGAGAGACAGGGAGAGAGACAGAGAGCACUCGCGAAUAACACCACGGCCUAGCCCGGCGUUAUGGCAUUUGUCUUAAGAGGCUACACCCCUGCUGAUGAUUUCUAGAACGUUUAAAUCGGUUCAAAAGGGCGAUG